RNAcentral lists this ribosomal RNA (392 nucleotides) under uncultured bacterium. Its description in RNAcentral is "partial 16S ribosomal RNA". It matches the Rfam family "Bacterial small subunit ribosomal RNA", at positions 523 to 918 of the family's 1533-position model. The record is from RNAcentral.
CUACGUAGGGGGCGAGCGUUGUCCGGAUUUAUUGGGUUUAAAGGGUGCGCAGGCGGCCAUUUAAGUCAGCGGUUAAAUCGUGGGGCUCAACCCCAUUCUGCCGUUGAUACUGGGUGGCUUGAUUGCGGUCGAGGUUGGCGGAAUUCGUUGUGUAGCGGUGAAAUGCAUAGAUAUGACGAAGAACACCGAUUGCGUAGGCAGCUGACCAGACCGCAAAUGACGCUCAUGCACGAAAGUGCGGGGAUCGAACAGGAUUAGAUACCCUGGUAGUCCGCACAGUAAACGAUGAAUACUUGUUUUCGGCGAUAUAAUGUCGGAGGCAAAGCGAAAGCGAUAAGUAUUCCACCUGGGGAGUACGCCGGCAACGGUGAAACUCAAAUGAAUUGACGGGG